This is a long non-coding RNA of Carassius auratus (goldfish), 238 nucleotides long. RefSeq lists it as uncharacterized. Lineage: Eukaryota; Metazoa; Chordata; Actinopteri; Cypriniformes; Cyprinidae. The transcript has 3 exons. The record is from RefSeq and is a predicted model, not a curated record.
AGAGGAUCCUGCUGGAAUAUAAGAAGCCUUUGAUGGAGGCGGAGCCGCGGAUCCUGAGCUUGAAGAAGAUCCAGCCUGUUUUUUAUAGGCUGAAGGAGAUCCUGCAGUGUCACUCCAUGUUUCAGAUUGCUCUGGCCUCCCGUGUUGCAGAAUGGGAUAAUUCAGAGAAAAUCGGAGACCUUUUUGUUGCUUCAUUUUCCAAAUCGAUGGUGCUAGAUGUGUACAGCGACUAUGUAAA